RNAcentral lists this non-coding RNA (225 nucleotides) under [Clostridium] methylpentosum. RNAcentral's name for it is "Clostridium methylpentosum T-box sequence". It matches the Rfam family "T-box leader". From Rfam's summary of the family: Uncharged tRNA acts as the effector for transcription antitermination of genes in the T-box leader family. T-boxes are found upstream of many aminoacyl-tRNA synthetase genes and some amino acid biosynthetic genes usually in Gram-positive bacteria. The anticodon of a specific tRNA base pairs to a specifier sequence within the T-box motif, and the NCCA acceptor tail of the tRNA base pairs to a conserved bulge in the T-box antiterminator hairpin. Lineage: Bacteria; Bacillati; Bacillota; Clostridia; Eubacteriales; Oscillospiraceae. The record is from RNAcentral.
UCAAACGCGUUGACCGGGUCCAGUAAGGGUUGGACAAACGCAUCCAGAGAGAAGCCGUCGCCGGCUGCAAGCGGCUUAUGCGUCCCAGUUCCUGAAAUUCCCCCGUGAGCGGUGCUGCUAAAUGGUUCAGUAGGCGGCGACGGCCCCUCCGUUACAGGGAUUGAGCGCCCGUAUCGUGAUACGGGAAUUAGGGUGGUAACGCGGAAUGAUGACUUCGUCCCUUUU